CACGCGACCUUCUCUCGUUCUGCACGCCAACGAAGCCGCCGCCGCCGCCGCGUCUCCUCCUUUCUCUCAGCGUCGCCAGAUCGGGGAUCGGGGAGCCACCGGGAGGAGAUCAGAGACGCCGCGACCAUGGCAGAAGUAGCAUCCUCGAAUAGAUCCGGCGCUCACUGCUGCCGCCGUCUGUUUCUCUUGUCUAUGGUUGGGGCUUCGGCAAUGGUUGGUGCACGACGACUAGAGGUGCAGAUCGAAGAUGCGUCCGCCCCCGCCUCCUCUGGUGUUGGCCGCACGCUCGAGAGGGCAGCUGCGUUGCUGGCCGCGGGUUCAGCAGCCAGCGCUUCCUCUCCUCUCCAAAUUCAGCACGCCAUCUAGUGAGUGCACCGGGGGCUGCCGUGCCCUCAACGACGGUAGAGCACCAGGUUCAGGGAGGACAAUAUCCGUUUGAAGGACUCAUCAGGUCCAGAAUAUUUGGCUGAGAAGGAAUGGCUUCAACCAGGGGAGACAUAGGAUGUGAGUUAGGCCAAGGCAAACUGAUAGGAAGGAUUGAGUAUGGCGAACGGUCUAACUGUCUCAGACGUUGAUCAACAUAUUGGAUUGAGCAGGGUGCCCUUCUGCUCUAAAGAUUGGAUUAGUGGAGGUAUUUAGUUUAUGAUGGUCAGGUCAAUCAAAAUCACAUGGUCUUUUUUUCAAGUUGAGGAAAAAAAGACACCGGAACAGGCUAGAAGGUGGGCGACACCGCGAGCUCUCCUCCUGAAGAAGCCACUGCCCGCUGCAGUCAUUGACACCUCCUCUGCCGCGGGAGGCCGUGGGCGAGAGGAAGGAGGCGUCGUCAUCUGCAGAAGGACCAUCGCCCUCCUUGUCAAGUGCAUACCUCUGCUGUUCUUCCCUGGGGUGUGAGGAUCAAGUGAAGGUGGAGCAUGGCUAGCCUGCUUGUUUAGCACAGUCCAGUAUUCUUUGAUUUUUCUUUGCAGUUCAUGUUUUGGCUUGAAUAAUUUCAAAAUCGAGCAGGGAUUGUUUGAUUUUUGCUGCUGAUGGUUUAAUUGUCAAACUACAGGUGCAGAGGAGAGGGACAAUUUUCAUAUCAAAUACUCAGGCUGGACAAUGGAGUGAAGCAUAUGAGUUAUUGUGACGGUGUGUUAAUCGUGAGGAACAAUGGUAAUCAUGUGGAUGGCGCCGGAGAAGCUCGCCUCCGCGCCCACAAGCCUCGGAUCCGGCAGGAUCCGGGACGAGGAGGGGUGGAUGAGACGGGGGAGGAGGAGGAGAGUGUGGGGGCGUCUGGGGAGGAGAGAGGGGUGAGAAGAUGAGAGGGAGAGAGAGAAGAGGUGGUGUAGCAGGGCCGGACCGCCGUCCUCUUCCACUCCAUCAACAGGCUUUCUCAACAGCAGGCUGCACCACUGCUUGAAAGCCACCGGUCUUCUUCCACUCCAUCAACAGUUAGUUAGUCAGCCGCCUCCCAAUGAAUAUCACACAGUCUGGAUACUUUCUUGGGUCAAUUCCCCUAUUUUUCACUGUCAUAUUCAUCAGCAAUUUCAGCGGCAGGGAGUGCUUGCCGUAGUGGAAACGAAGCAAGAACUGGAUGGAGCUCAGGAUUUUGCUACUACCUUGCUAAUAGCUUUGUGAGGCAUGUCACCGAUGACAAGUGCAAGAAGAAAGCACCGAGGAGAAUCCACAAAUCCAAGAGGCAGAAGCAUAAGCGCGUCCUGCUCAAUGAUUUCUUGGGUGAACUUAUCAAAAUGCUAGGUGAGUUAAAUAGGUGUGCAUCAAUCACUAGCCCCCUCGACACCUUAUAGAUUACGUCACAGCUAGCGUUGCUUCAGUGAAGCUGUCUCUUAAUUUGGGGGGUCGUUUCCUUUUCCAUGUAGUUAUUUGGAAUGUCAGAGUUGAGUGUGGGUAUGUAUGAAUCUGGGUCAUGUUGUUACUAUCCAUGUCCAAUUGUCCAAGUCAUGCUUUUGGGGUGAAUACUGGGGUUCAGUAUGUGUCAUGGAUUUCUUUAGUAGAUCCCAAUGAAUGUUUAUGCCGUUGAAAACGUGGAUGACCUCAUUGAAAAUUAGUAACACCAGAAGACCUCUCGAUGUUUGUUGACAAUUCAUUACAUUGUGCAUAAUUGUCAGCAUGUAAAACUGUGUAGUACCUGCAUCCAUUAAUUCCAAUCUUUUUCUAAUCCAUCUGUCUCAGGCUCUCAGCCAUGCAUCUUGCAUCAAACUGUAUGUGCCUUGGAGUAUAUUGCUUCUUAUAUUGCACCCAUUAUUAGUGAAGAAAUUGCGAAAUGCUUACUAUGCAUGGUGAUUAUUUAAUCAGAGUAACAUCUGACAUGAAAAGGCACUUCAAAUCAGGGCUAAUUUUCAAGCCUGAAUACCUUUUACUUAGAACAAAGUACUGGUACAUCUUCUCUAUUUUUAAAUGUAGCCAUCCCACUCUCCCUGGAAGCCCCGCCCCCCUGCUACAUUUUCAUGGUCACCGCCCCCAGGAACGGCUACAAGAUGAAGCGACGCACAAGGUUGCGCGUUCAUGCAAUACUUUACCCAUGAAAUAGAAGAGUUGUGCAGGCGUGUGAUUCAAGUUCUUCGACGGAACGGACCCAACUCAUUCAGUGAAGAAAUUUCAAGGUUCUCUUUCGGAACUGGUUUGAGCUUCUAUAAGUUCAGUUUGAAGAACAGUAUCACAGAAUAAGGAAUCAUGAAAAUAAUGAGGUAACAGCAGAGGGUGAGUGUUGCAAAAAAGAUUGACGACUGGAGCUAAAAACAGGCAAGAGAAUGUACAGAAAAGCCUUACUUUAGAUUUAGCCAGUAGAGCAUGUGCCCUUCGCAUAGGGAUAAUAACUUUUAGUAAAACAGCAGCACCAGUUUGAUUCAGGGUAUACAAUAUCUUACAAACAGUCAAGGAUUCACCAACUCACCAGUCAAGCAUUAGAUAGAUAACAAAAAGGUAGGAAUAACAUGUGUGCAGAAGUACAUUCCUACUCAUCAUGAGGACAGGUGUCAAGAAGGAACUAGGCAUACCCAUAGCAUUUCCCCACUGUUUAAUCAAUCUUAGUGGAACUGGGUGGUCAUGUAAAGUAGUUUCACUUGGGGUGCAUCCAUCAGCCUCCUUAACCACAUAAUAGACAGUGGAGCUGAAACUUCCCCUCUUUUUUUAAGAAUGCCUAGUCGGGUUCUUCUCCUACCAGUAUCGAAUAGAACUCGAAAUCGAAUUUCAUUGCGGGAAAUUAGGAUUUCAUGAGGGAGGAAAAGGGGGUGGAGAGUCGUACAAUGCAUUGGUGGGAUGAAGAUCAGAGAAGCGAAUGCCUCUUGUAAUUGAUUGAAAAGUGCUCUGCUGCUUCAAAUAUCAUGACAAUUCAAAUACAAACUGCAGACCUGUACUUACGGUCAGAGAUGAUGGCUGAACAUUCCUUAUUUCCAAUAACAAUACUUUCCGCUUGAAGGAAGUUUCUUAUUGGAUUACAUAAUGCUUCCAGAUCAUCUUCGUUCUGGUCAUAGCUAUUCUGAGUUGUCAUAGUCUUCAAUGUUAGGCAUCUAGGUGCCCUAAGCAGCUUGUCAUUGACUGAUUGAUUUAGAAAACACAUAGAUUCCUGUUUCGCCUGUAGAUAAAGUAUGGUUAAAUAGUUAUGGAAUUCCUCAGGAACUGUGUCCUGAAGUUUCCCACUUUCGAAGAAACUGGAAACCCAUAAUAGUUUCCUAUGGUUAUCUAUGAUCUCUUCUAGGUGCUUGGCAAACUCAUACUCCCUGUGUGAGGUAAUAUAGAAGAUCUUUUAGAUCAUUAAAGUAGUGAUCUAAAAAGUCUUGUAUUAUUUUACAGAUGGAGUCUUCUUUACCACUUAUAAGAUCCAUACUCACUGAAUCUACUCACGCUCAUUCUGGAGUGAUGAAGAAUUGAGAUGAUAAUGGAAAUAAGAUCCAUGACAUGUUGUUCCUAAGAUGUGCGACUGAUUGCAAUGGAACAAUAUGCGGAUGCACAAGUUCUUACCAAAACAGAGGUAGCACGGUCUAGAAUAUGGGACACCAAACUGCAAGGGACUUAGGAAGAAUUAUCGUGUGUUGAAACUGAGAGUUGAAAGGGCAGCUAGCAACUGGUCAUGUAUAUCAGACACCUAUCACAAGCAAUUGAUACUGAUAGAGUCCAAAUACUACAGUCAAUUGUGAUUCGAAUAAUUCUAAGCUUAAAAGAACCUCGAAUCCAACAACAUUUUCCGCGCACCAUCUACUCGAUGGUAUGCCCAUAUGGAUUGUUUGAUCUCUUCUCCUCUGCAGACUGCAGGUGCAAGUCCCCCGCUCAGUGAGGGCGUGGUCAGAUUGCUUAAUGAGUUCUUUUAUUUUUGGGAUUUUAAGAUGACUACUGCUUGAGCACCAUAGUUGAUUGCUAUUUAUUUCAGAUCAAAUUCUCAAUCAAUUUUUCCUUCCAAUUGAAAUGAAAUAUUCGGCAAAAUAGAAUGAUGUAUAUUGCGAGACUAUGUACUGUAGGAGUUAUUUGAGUAAUGAUGUGAAGGCAAUGUAUAAACUUGGUGAAUUCACUUCA
Long non-coding RNA from Triticum dicoccoides, 4506 nucleotides. RefSeq lists it as uncharacterized. The transcript is spliced from 10 exons. NCBI's taxonomy places the organism in Eukaryota, Viridiplantae, Streptophyta, Magnoliopsida, Poales, Poaceae. The record is from RefSeq and is a predicted model, not a curated record.